This 468-nucleotide ribosomal RNA is filed under the name uncultured bacterium. RNAcentral describes it as "partial 16S ribosomal RNA". It matches the Rfam family "Bacterial small subunit ribosomal RNA", at positions 28 to 507 of the family's 1533-position model. The record is from RNAcentral.
GACGAACGCUGGCGGCGUGCUUAACACAUGCAAGUCGAACGGAAAGGCCCUGCUUUUGUGGGGUGCUCGAGUGGCGAACGGGUGAGUAACACGUGAGUAACCUGCACCUGACUUUGGGAUAACUUCAGGAAACUGGGGCUAAUACCGGAUAGGAGCUCCUGCUGCAUGGUGGGGGCUGGAAAGUUUCGGCGGUUGGGGAUGGACUCGCGGCGCAUCAGCUUGUUGGGUGGGUAGUGGCUUACCAAGGCUAUGACGGGUAGCCGGCCUGAGAGGGGGACCGGCCCAAUUAGAACUGAGAUGCGGCCCAGACUCCUACGGGAGGCAGCAGUGGGGAAUAUUACACAAUGGGCGGAAGCCUGAUGCAGCAACGCCGCGUGCGGGAUGACAGCCUUCGGGUUGUGAACCGCUUUCGCCUGUGACGAAGCGUGAGUGACAGUAAUGGGUAAAGAAGCACCGGCUAACUACGUG